UGCACCUCUAUUUCCGAUAAUGAGGCCGAGAUUGCACGUUUGUCCACGUUGCGGUCAGAUGUAUGCCUGGGCAUCGAAUCUGAGAAAACAUCUGAAGAUGGGAUGCGGAAUGGUGACCUUCGAGACUCACUUCUCCUGUCAGUACUGCCCUUAUAGGUCGAGGAUCGAGGCCAGCUUCUUGAAACACCUGUUGUCGGUCCAUAACAUCAAGUAGACCGAUGCUAUCUCGCGUUGAAACGUCUCGCGUAAAGUGUGUUGUCUUUUUUGUCUUCUUUCUUUUUUUUUUGUUUUUUAUUAUUACUUUCUUUUUUUUUUUAUUAGGUUUCGUUUUUGUUUUCUGAUUAUUUUCUUUUUCUCGCGAAAAAGAAAAAUGAGAGAAAAUCGACAAAAGAAACAGAAGUUUUUUUAUAGAAGUUUAUGUUCGUGCAAUUAGAGUAAGGAGAGAGAGAGAGAGAGAGAGAGUUUUAAUAAUCGCCUAAGAAAUAAUUCAUUUCGCUAAGAAUCAUAUAGACAAGUUCCUUUUUUCGUGUGAUAGCUCGCGUUAAUCUUCUUUUUUCAUUUUUGUUAUUUUAUUUUAUUUUAUUUUAUUUUUUCUUUUUAAUAUUUAUUUAUUUCAUUUUUUUUUAUUUGAUGGAACUCGAUGAUCGAUCCUCGAACACCUGAUCAAAUUUAUCAUUUUAAUUAUUUAUAUAUAUAUAUUUUUUUGAAUUAAGAUUAUUUAAUUCUUAUAUUAUUUUCAAUUGAUCUCGAAAUAUUAUGCGUUUAGACUGAUUUCAGGAUCGAUUAUAAGAUUUGUAGAAACAAACUAACCGAGACUAUACGAGAGAAUUUUAAUCAGGAUCACAUUUAUAUUUUUGGAGGCCCAAGCGCAAUAUUAUUAUUACCAGAACGAGGCUCCAAGUUUGGGCUUUAUUAUAAAUGCGGUCCUGACAUUAACGAAACUUGUGUGCGCUUUGCAAUUAUUUAGCCGUGCACUAUAUAUCGUUAUUAAUAUAAUCUCGAUCGCUAGUCACGUGCUGAAAGUCCUAUAAAAUUUUUCCUAAUCGAUGUACGUCGAAUAUAUUUGUAAGAAGUUAACAUUUUUUUUUUUCUUUUUUCUAACGGCAAUAGAAACGAAUCACUCGUUUUAGUCAUGAUCCGUUUUCUUUAAGAGGACAAAUAAUCGUUUUAUAUUUUGUCAUGUGAUUUUAAGAAAACAGCUGAUCGUCGUUGUGGUUUUUUUUUCGUUUCUUUUUUCUUGUUUUAUGUUAUUUUAUUUUAUUUUAUUUUUAAUUUUCUUGUCUCUUGUUUUUGUGAUAUUUGUAUAUACGUACGUGUAGCACUUACUAGUCCCGUUCGAUUUAAUUCUCCUUCAAAAUAGAAAAAAAAGAAUUUUUAAAAAAGAAUAAAAAUUGUUAAGUACGAAAAAAGAAAACGUAUUUCUUUACACAGGUGUGUGUUUACAAAUCCGAAUAUUGAAGAUUCUAAUUAUUGCUUAAGACAAUAAAUUUUUCGUACACGUUAGAUUUUGCUUCUUUUUUCUCUUUGUUUUUUUUUUCUUUUAAGUGGAAAAAAAAGGAUAAAAAUCGAGAUAAAAAUGAAAUUCAUAGUUUAUUCAUAGAAAUUUCUCAAACUAUUAACUUCAUAUUAUCCUCAGUUUAUAUACUUGGAGAACUUCGAUUUCAUUUAUUAAAAAAAAAAAAAUCGUAGUUUAUUUACAAACUUACAGUUCGUAUUAAAAAGAAAAGAAAUCUAUAUUAUAUCUGCUAUCAUUUAUUUCAUACGAAAAAUAUAAAUUCAGUAUUAAUCAAUAUUCGUACGUGCCAUUUAUAUUUUAAUAAAGGACACACACGCGUAAAGUAAAACAUGUUUUCUAAAUUUUAUCGUAUUUAACAAGACAAAUACUUUUGAAGGAUGAUUGAAUCGUCUUGAUAAAAAUAAAUGAAGAAGAUGAAGAAGAAUAAGAAUAAGAAGAAGAAGAAGAAGAUGAAAAGAGAAAGUGAAAGAAGAAGAAAUGAAUAAGAAAAAAGUAAAAAAAGAAAAAAAAAAGAAAAAAAAAAUAAAUCUCAUCGAUAUGUCGCGAUUAGAAAGGAGGUGUCUUAGAUAUAAAGAUUUUAUAACGCACGCUGUAGGAUCUCGCUCGUUUAUUCGAUAGUCUUAUUAGAUAAAUAAUAUGUCGACAUAGUGAUUACAUUUCGAAGUAAUUAUAUUACGUCGUGUAACCAUCGAUCGACGAUCGUUCUGCAUAUUACGAUGAAUUGGUGACGGUCGAUUAAAUUGAAAAAAAAUAAAUAAAUAAAAAACAUAUUUAAAAAUUAAUAAUAAUGAUAAUGAUGACGAUGACGAUGAUGAUGAUGAUGAUAAUGAUAGUGAUGAUGAUGAUGAUGCUGAUACUGAUGAUGAUGAUGCUGAUGAUGAUGAUGAUGAUGAUGAUUAUGAUUAAUUUUUAGAACUUGUUUAAUCGACCGAUACCAUAUUAGACACGUAAGAAUUAAUUAAUUAAUUAAUUACGUAAACCUCUAUCUAACGAGAAUCAAAUCUAGAGCUUUUCGUUGUUGUUGUUGUUUCUUUUUUGUUGUUGUUGUUUAUUUUAUUUUUAUUUUCUUUUUCUUUUACCUUUUUAAUUUUUCUUUUAUAUACUUUGUUUUAUUUUGUUAUAUCUUAGAAUUAAGAGAAGACGAUUACGGAAGAUCAGAUAUCUUUUUCUUUUUUUCUUUUCUUUUUCUUUUCUUUCCUUUUGAUUUACAUGUUUACGAAAAAAAGUAAGAAGAAAUGAAAAGAGAAAGAAGAGAUUUGAUUUCUUCAAUCGAUUUUUUCCUCGAAACUUCCGAAAGUUCCUGUCUCGUCCUAUCGAGAGUAACUAAUGAUCGAUUCUUUUUUCUUUUUUUUUCCUUGUUCCUUUAUUUUUAUACAAUUUGUCGACUAAUUAAUUCGAAGCGGCGAAUAUCAAAAGAAAUAAUAAGGAAUAAUUAAAAAAAAAAAAAUGCAUUGAAUAAAAAUAAAAAUAAUAGUUCAAGUAUCGCAUGUAAAACUAUUAUACGAGAUAUGGAGCGUAUCAGAUUAUCUCUAAUCUUUAAAAUAAACAAAAAAGCAGAACCUGUAGGAAAAGAAAAAAAAGAAACUCUGCGAAACUGAAAAAAAUAUUCCUGAAAACUAAAUCGUUUAAAAAAGAAUUAGAACUUCAAACGAGAAUAGAGAGAGAAAGAGAGAGAGAGAGAGAGAGAGAAAGAGAGAGGGUGUGUGUGUGUGUGAGAGAGAGAGAGAGAUUUAACGAUGCGAAGAAAUUAGAAUGAAACUUCGUACAUAUAAAAAUUCAUAAGGAUUUUAUGAUACCCAUUUUAUUAGCCGGCUUUUUACAAAUCGUUCUCAAGAAAAUGAAAGAAAAAAGAAAAAGGAGUAUUAAAAGAUAAUCGAAAAAAAAGGAACACAAUUAUCCUUUCACGUAAACGUAAGCCUUUCGAGUAAGUGAUUUACGAGAUCAAUUUGAUAAAUUCGCGGCUUUUUUGCCUGUGUAUGUUUUAUUUUUUAGUAUCUAUAUAUAUACAUAAAUAUAUAUAUAUAUAUAAAUUUCAUUCUUAAAGUAAAAAGAAAAAAGGCGCGAGUUUCUCAAAUUGCCCUGGUAUCAAAGAAAGAAAAAAAGAAAAAAAGACGGUGACCUUGAGCUUUACGCUUUUUUUUCUAAUAUUUCAUCCUAAUAAUUAUAAUAAUAUUAAUAUUAAUGAUAAUAAUAAUAAUAAUAAUAAUAAUAAUUAUAAUAAUAAUAAUAAUAAUAAUAAAAUAAUAAAAAAUAAUAAUAAUAAAAUAAUAAUAAUAAUAAUAAUAAUAAUAAUAAUAAUAAUAAUAAUAAUAAUAAUAAUAGUAAUUAAUAAUACUAUGACUACUAAUAAUAAUAAUGAUAAUAAUAUAAAAAAAAAUUGUCACUGCUCGAACGGCCGAUUUUAUUGAAAGUCAUACGAAAUUUUAUUCGUUCGUAUCUUCUGAUCAUUAUUGUCGAAUUAAUGAAAAAAAUAACACUACGGAUUAGAUUAUUAAACGGAUUAGAAAAGUAAAAAAAAAAAAAUAAACUGUAGAUUGUACAUAAACGGAUAUGAAAUCGAAAAAAAAGAAGAAAAUAUUAAUAAGUAACAUGUGAGCGAGUAUAUGUGUGUAUGCGAAUGAGUGAAAAGGUAAAACGAAGAGAAGGAAGAUAAAGAAAAAAACCAAAUUUGAAUUCUAAUCUUCGACGAGGAAGAAAUAUCAUCGUUGUAUCAUUUAUCGACGAUAGUUAUAUACAUAUAUAUAUAGAAAGAGAGAGAGAGAGAGAGAGAGAGAGAGAGAGAGAGAGAGAGAGAGAGAGAGAAAGAGAGCUAGAAAAAGAGAGACAGAUGAAUAAAAAAAUAAAAAAUUUUUAAAGACAGCGCGAUCAAAGAAAAAAAUAACAAAAAAAAAGAAAGGAAAAAAAAAUAUCUCCAGUCGCGUUUUUCGUCACGCGUUGUUUCAUUUUCGUAAAGAAAGAAGGAAAUAAGGAAAGAAAGAAAAAAAGAGAUAAAGAAAAAAAGGAAGGUCGUAUUAUUCGAUUAGACUUAUCGUCGAUUAGAAAAAUCUGUAAUCGCGAUUUCACUCUUUAUACAUCUUCGUCGCUCGUUUUAGAUCAAUAGAUCGAUAGAUCCAAGCGCGAUCGAUCGUCGAUCGUGUCGCUCAAACGGUUUAAGUGUGUCUGUGUAUAACGAUGUUCCGCAUUAAAUCAACAUAAAAAUUGCUUUUUUUUUAGUUUUUUUGAAUAAACACCUGUAAAUAUAUAUAUAUAUAUAUAUAUAUAUAUAUAUAAAAUAUCUAUGAAAGAUAGCCGAGACACCAAGAUUUUUUUCAGAAAAAAAAAGAAAAAAAAAUGAAAUUUUUCUCCUGUCGUUGGAGGGAUGGUGGUGGAAGGGUUUGGGGUGGGUUGGGGGUUUAUGGGAAGCAAGGGCAAGAAAAGAAAAAAGAAAAAAAAAAAGAUGGCGACCUUGGAGAAACGGUGAAUCUUCUUAGCUCGUUCGAAGGAUCCUGAAUGGUAAUGGCCGUGAGUCAAGAACAGUUUGGUUAAGAACAAUUAAAGAAGAAAAAAAAAAAACAGAAGAAAAAAAUUGCUCUUAAUCGUCAAACGAUUUUCGAAUUUUUCUUUUUUUUUUGGAGGCUUUUUGAUGUCCUUUCUUUUUUUCUUUUGUUUUUGUUUAUCAUUAAACAGAGAAAAGUGACUAACUUAUUCAUACUCUCACUGGCUUGCCGAAUUCAUCGGAGUACUUGGUCUCACAUUGGAUCGUAUCGUCUCAGAAGAAUAAAAUGAAGAUUAAGAAGACGAAUGAUUCGACAUCUGCGACAACAGAGGAAAGAAGUAAUCGUAGAUUGAUCGAGCAACAUUACGUGAAAUUUCAUGGUAGAUCGAGAAGAUCGAGCGAUUAUGUUUGUUCUAAUUGUGGCAAGUCAUUCGUUAAUUGUGCACGGCUUAAAUCACAUAGAAGACGUUAUUGCGGUGUUAUGGCAAAUGUAGCUUGUAAAUAUUGCGAUCAUCGUACCAAACGUGUAUGGGAUAUGAAAGUUCAUCUUAGUGGCGUACACGGUAUUCAUAAAAAUUCGACAGAGAUCGUUAGUCAUCUCGUUAAGAUCGACAAAAGUUGAAAUACAAAUUCGACUAUUCUUUUUCUUUUCUUUUUUUCUUUUCUUUAACAACAAAAAUAUUAAUUGUCCAAUUGAAAUAGGAACAAAGAUGUGGUUUCAAACAUUUUGAAACAAACAUUGGCUUUUUUCUUCCUAUUUUUCUUUUUCUUAUUUAUUUAUUUAUUUUCUUUUUCUUUUUUAAUGAACAAUGAUGAAUUAAUAUUACUGUCAGGAUUAUUAUUUACUAUCACUGCUAUUUUUUAGUGUUACGGUCUUAAAUAAUUUCAUCAGCUAUUUUCUUUUCUUGUUGUUUCUUAAUUUUCUUACUUACAGAAGUUGAACAACCGACAAUCCAAAAGAGACGUAUCAAUGUUUUAUCUGAGAUUAAUAAAAAUUAUUUGUAAAAUGCAUUGUAUCAUGACGAACAAUAAAUAUUUCAUUUCCUCGUCGUAAU
Molecule: long non-coding RNA, 6046 nt
Organism: Vespula vulgaris
Lineage: Eukaryota; Metazoa; Arthropoda; Insecta; Hymenoptera; Vespidae
Exons: 2
Source: RefSeq, a predicted model, not a curated record